This 1209-nucleotide unclassified non-coding RNA is filed under the name Hevea brasiliensis (rubber tree). The record is from RNAcentral. Lineage: Eukaryota; Viridiplantae; Streptophyta; Magnoliopsida; Malpighiales; Euphorbiaceae.
GUUUGAACAAAAAUAUAAAUUACAAAAGAGUUCCUUGAAAAUAUACCACAACUUCUCUGAACAAGGAAACUGAAUGCACCUAGUAAGUUGAUAUAUACUCUGCUAAUCCAUUCUGAAAGAUCUGCAAACUGAAAAUAGAUAGAAGAGUGCAUUACAAGCAAAUCCUGCUGCUGAUUGUUUGUGUCAUUUAGUUGAAUGCUCAGCACUACGCCUCUCUGUUAAAAAGUGAAGGCACGGUCUAUCUUGAAAUGACUUUCAUGAAGCGGUUUAUAGAAGAGAAGAUUCCAGCUGCUUGAUUUAACAGUGAGGGGCCUUUAUCUUCCUUCUCAUCCACACCUCCAUAAAUUAUCUCCAGAUCUUCUAUAGUUGGACGGCUGAUCUGCUCCUUGGCCAGAAGAUAUCUGUUUGGUCGGUCCUUAUCAUCAUAGAACACUUUCCACAAUCCGGGAUAACAUCUAAAUACAGCGCCAUCUGGUAGAGGUCUCAUUGAGUAAGCCACAGUGAAGGUGCUUAAAAAAUUGCGCCGCAGCCUACGUACAUUGAUCCCCACUCCGACAUCCUCACUAAUUAGACGCGGGUUCCACAUGAUAAGAGGCCUAGGCGGGUCAUCUGAGAGAUCGGAUGCAAUUUUCUCUACAUAUUCCAGCAUCUGAUAAUCAGGAACUACCAUGACUACAAUUUCGUCUUCCUUACUUACUGGCUUCCGAUCCCCUAGACUGGCGAAUUCAAAUGUAGCAUCUUUCCACCGAUAUUUCAGGAGUGCGGCAGCUCCAGCAUCUGGAAAAAUGGCUUUAACUCUCUCACAUCCCGUCUCCUCAAUAAGUGUUUCCAAAAAUGUUCUUGAUAGUUCCCAUAAUUCAGCUUGUGCACCCUCAUCAUCAAGAAACUGAAGCUGUGGUAUUAAGAGCUCAACAAUGGCUCUUAUUCCUCCUGAAGAUACAAAAGAGGCAGCUGCUUGGCCCGACUGCUGAACGGCACCCUCCAAAUCAGAAGGCAGGCAGCUGUCAUCUUCUUCUUGAUCCUCCUCCUCCACUGUUUGCAAUUGUGGGUCUGGUUCAAGAUUUUCUUGUCCUUGAAAUUUGUCAAAUUUGGCAUGGGUUCUUGAACUGGGAACGGAUUUAUGGAGUGAAAUUCCAGAAAACCCACGAGUAUUUAAGGGGUAAAUAGAUGAAGAGAAGGGAGUUUUGAAGGACGGUUUCGGUAUUGGAG